CCUACGGGAGGCAGCAGUGAGGAAUAUUGCUCAAUGGUCGUAAGCCUGAACCAGCCAAGUAGCGUGACGGAUGACGGCCCUACGGUUUGUAAACUGCUUUUAUGCGGGAAUAAAGUCAGUCACGUGUUCUGUUUUGUAUGUACGGUAUCUAUAAGGAACGGCUAAUUCCGUGCCAUCAGCCGCGGUAAUACGGAGGGUCCGAGCGUUAUCCGGAUUUAUUGGUUGUAAAGUGACCGUAGGGGGGUUGUUAAGUCUGUCGUGAAAUGUCGUGGCUCAACCGUGGAACUGCCACUGAUACUGGCAGGCUUGAGUGCGGGAGAGGUAAGUGGAAUUCGUGGUGUAGCGGUGAAAUGCUUAGAUAUCACGAGGAACUCCGAUGGCGAAGGCAGCUUACUGGAACGCAACUGACGCUGAGGAUCGAAAGCGCGGGUAGCAAACAGGAUUAGAUACCCCAGUAGUC
Molecule: ribosomal RNA, 460 nt
Filed under: uncultured bacterium
Lineage: Bacteria
Description: partial 16S ribosomal RNA
Rfam family: Bacterial small subunit ribosomal RNA
Source: RNAcentral